Molecule: ribosomal RNA, 229 nt
Filed under: Spizellomycetales sp.
Lineage: Eukaryota; Fungi; Chytridiomycota; Chytridiomycetes; Spizellomycetales
Description: partial small subunit ribosomal RNA
Source: RNAcentral
CGUUGAUUACGUCCCUGCCCUUGAUAUACAAGGGGCAAAAAGUGGCCUUGAAAAAGGCUGCUAGUCGACGAUCCUCUCGCCGGCGACACUGUCAAAUUGCGGGAAACCCCUAAAGCUUUGAGUACCAAGUUGAAUUCGAAAGGAUUUAAUGGCCAGGGUAAUGACCUCGGGUAUGGUAAAAACCUCAAAGAUAUUACAAUGGAUAAUCCGCAGCCAAGUCCUAAAUCUU